GUCAUGCCACCGACUAGCUGCUGCUGUAGAGGAUGACGAAGCACGGGAGCACUGCUCUGGGGUUGUACACCAGCAGCUCGACGUCGUCGCCGGUGCCGCCCCCGACACCGCCACGCACGGGGACCAUGGAGUCGUAGGCCACCUUGUCGUCCGCGGGGCCCCGGGCGACGCGUCCCGCCACGACGCGGCACACCAGCAUGGCGCGGCGCACCUGGAGGAAGGCGAACUCGCGCUCCACGUCGGCGGGCAGGGACGCGUGCGCGGUCCACGCGGAGGCGUAGGUGGCGAUGCCGUCCACGUCGGCCUGCUUGCCCGCGAACCCGUGCCGCAGGGUGCUGCACACGCAGCAGUAGGGGCUCCCGCACACGCCGCCGCCCAGGGAGCAGAGCAUGGUGGAGCAGUGGAAGCGCAGGCGCUCGUUGCCGUCCGCGAUGCAGCGCUCCUCCACCACGGCGCCCUCGCCGCCGCAGCGCCGGGCGGCCCGGGCGCGGACCAGGUCGCGGUACUCCUCGAAGCGGGCCAGCGCGCGCGGGUUGUGGUGGAUCCUGAGGACGCGGCGGACCGCGGGGGCCUCGCCGGCACCGGCACCGGCACCGGCACCGGACGCCGCGGGCCUCCACCCGGCGAGGAAGAUCAUGCGGAUGAUGUUGAGGCUGGAGUCCAGGUGGGUGAGCUCCGACAGGGAGUGCUUCAUCGCCUGGUGGAGCUCCAGCAGCUGCGGCCUGCCCAGCACCUCGCCGCACACCUUGCAAGGGAACACGUCGCCGCGGGCGGCGAACGACCGGAACGACUGCCUGCUCGCCUGCAGCAGCUUCUGCUGCGGCGACGACGGGAACGGGGUGGCGCUGAGGGAGCGCACCGAGAGCGGCGACAUCAUCAACGGCGACGACCACGCGCACGGCGACGACGGCGUGGACAGCACCACGGACGUCGACGAAGGCUGAUGCGGCAGCGACUGGGCAAUCGGCGAAGACACGGUGGUGGCCACCGCCUCCUCCUCUCCGUCCCUUCCCGCGACGACGGUGCCGCCAUUCUUGGUCCCGGUCGACCCGGAGCGGAAGAUGCGGUGGAGGUAGAGACGGAGGCUGGCGGCGAGAGACGACACGUGCCUGCGCGGGGCUCCGGCGCUAUCGUCGCUGGCUGUAACGGCAGUGGACGACGCUGCCGGGGAGAAGAUCAACGGCGAUAUCUUCCUCCUCUUGUUGCUCCCACCGCCGCCUCCUACUACCUUGCCGUCGGCUUCCGCUGCUUCGUCCUCCUCCUGCUGCGCCCGCGCGGCAGCGCCGGGCGAGAAGCAGCAGCUGCCGCCGUGGCCAAUGUGGAGGAACAGGAGGAAGAAGAGGGACAGGAAGCCGCGCAGCAGCAGCGAGCCACCACCACCACCACCACUGCCCGCUGCCAUCUCCGUUCGAUCUUUACCGGCCUCAGCGUCGAUCGUCACGGACUCAACUCAGAUCACGUCUGCGCGGCGCGGCGAGAAGUCGAGAAGCGUAAAGCGAGGAAUCCUCUGACAGGCGAGCGGAGGAAGCAAAGCUGGAGCCGGCCGGGAAGUGAUGGAAUGACGGAGGUGGAAAGCGCAGGGGGAAAGAAGGCAGGGUGCUUAAAAGAGGAGAAGGGUGUUGUGCUAUGUACUAUGUGCUGGUUGGGUACGGAAGCCGAGUGCAAAAAGGAAAUCCGGCGGCGUGACAGCAACAGGGUGUCUAUACGCACUACUCCUACGCAGACGCAGGAAGGGCAAACCGGCAAAGCAUGCAGCUACUGCUGCUGCGGCCAUGAUCUUUCAGCGCCAUGCAUGCAUCGUCACACUCACACCGAGGACGCUGUAGACUUGCAUUGCAUAGGCGGGGGGAGAGGGGAAUGACGCGCACGCCAUUGCCAUGGGUGUGGACAAGCUACCGGCC
This 1901-nucleotide unclassified non-coding RNA is filed under the name Zea mays. RNAcentral's name for it is "misc RNA Zm00001eb011690". Lineage: Eukaryota; Viridiplantae; Streptophyta; Magnoliopsida; Poales; Poaceae. The record is from RNAcentral.